GUAGGUGGCAAGCGUUGUCCGGAAUUAUUGGGCGUAAAGCGCGCGCAGGCGGUCCUUUAAGUCUGAUGUGAAAGCCCACGGGCUCAACCGUGGAGGGUCAUUGGAAACUGGAGGACUUGAGUACAGAAGAGGAAAGCGGAAUUCCAAGUGUAGCGGUGAAAUGCGUAGAGAUUUGGAGGAACACCAGUGGCGAAGGCGGCUUUCUGGUCUGUAACUGACGCUGAGGCGCGAAAGCGUGGGGAGCAAACAGGAUUAGAUACCCUGGUAGUCCACGCCGUAAACGAUGAGUGCUAAGUGUUAGGGGGUUUCCGCCCCUUAGUGCUGCAGCUAACGCAUUAAGCACUCCGCCUGGGGAGUACGGCCGCAAAGGCUG
This 373-nucleotide ribosomal RNA is filed under the name uncultured organism. RNAcentral's name for it is "partial 16S ribosomal RNA". It matches the Rfam family "Bacterial small subunit ribosomal RNA", at positions 527 to 896 of the family's 1533-position model. The record is from RNAcentral.